This 286-nucleotide unclassified non-coding RNA is filed under the name Hevea brasiliensis (rubber tree). Lineage: Eukaryota; Viridiplantae; Streptophyta; Magnoliopsida; Malpighiales; Euphorbiaceae. The record is from RNAcentral.
CAAGAAGAACCACCAUCUGUUUCCACUUUUUUUCCCCAUGAAGAUAAAGAUCCUGACUCCUCUCCCUUCCCAGAUUGGUGACUCUCAAUCUUUUUACCCCAAGACCCACCAUCUUUUUCCACCUUUUUCCCCCAUGAGGACAAAGAUCCUGACUGCUCUUCUUUCCCAGAUAGUUGAGGGGUAUUCUCAGUUUCAAUCUUUUUCCCCCAAGAACCACCAUCUUUAUCCACCUUUUUCCCCCAUGAACUAGAGUCUUUAUCCACCUUUUUCCCCCAAGAAGAACCAC